AUACGAAGGGCCCGAGCGUUGCGCGGAAUCACUGGGCUUAAAGCGUACGUAGGCGGACAAUCAGGCAUCUUGUGAAAGCCCUCGGCUCAACCGAGGAACUGCUUGGUGAACCGAUUGUCUUGAGACAAGUAGGGGCUGUCGGAACGAUAGGUGGAGCGGUGAAAUGCGUUGAUAUCUAUCGGAACGCCGAAGGUGAAGACAGGCAGCUGGGCUUGUUCUGACGCUGAGGUACGAAAGCGUGGGGAGCGAACGGGAUUAGAUACCCCAGUAGUCC
Molecule: ribosomal RNA, 274 nt
Filed under: uncultured bacterium
Lineage: Bacteria
Description: partial 16S ribosomal RNA
Rfam family: Bacterial small subunit ribosomal RNA
Source: RNAcentral